GAUGAACGCUGGCGGCGUGCCUAAUACAUGCAAGUCGAGCGAACAGACGAGGAGCUUGCUCCUCUGACGGUAGCGGCGGACGGGUGAGUAACACGUGGAUAACAUACCUAUAAGACUGGGAUAACUUCGCGAAACCGGAGCUAAUACCGAAUGAUAUAUUGAACCUCAUUGUUCAAUAGUGAAAGUCGGUUUUUCUUUCACUAAUAGAUGAAUCCGCGCAUCAUUAGCUAGUUGGUAAGGUAACGGCUUACCAAGGCUACGAUGCGAAGACGACCUGAGAGGGUGAUCGGACAGCCUGGAACUGAGACAGGGUCCAGACUCUGACGGGAGGACGCAGUAGGGAAUCUUACGCAAGGGGGGAAAGCCUGACGGAGCAACGCGGCGUGAGUGAUGAAGGUCUUAGGAUCGUAAAGCGCUGUAAUUAGGGAAGAACAAAUGUGUAAGUAACUAUGCACGUCUUGACGGUACCUAAUCAGAAAGCCACGGCUAACUACGUG
Molecule: ribosomal RNA, 497 nt
Filed under: uncultured bacterium
Lineage: Bacteria
Description: partial 16S ribosomal RNA
Rfam family: Bacterial small subunit ribosomal RNA
Source: RNAcentral